CGGGACGGGUGAGUAACGUGUGGGCAACCUGCCCUGCACUGGGGAAUAAUCAUUGGAAACGAUGACUAAUACCGCAUACGGUUCCUGGGAGGCAUCUUCUGGGAAAGAAAGGAUUUAUUCGGUGCAGGAUGGGCCCGCAUCUGAUUAGCUAGUUGGUGAGAUAACAGCCCACCAAGGCGACGAUCAGUAGCCGACCUGAGAGGGUGACCGGCCACAUUGGGACUGAGACACGGCCCAAACUCCUACGGAAGGCAGCAG
RNAcentral lists this ribosomal RNA (258 nucleotides) under uncultured bacterium. RNAcentral's name for it is "partial 16S ribosomal RNA". It matches the Rfam family "Bacterial small subunit ribosomal RNA", at positions 98 to 354 of the family's 1533-position model. The record is from RNAcentral.